This 109-nucleotide small nucleolar RNA is filed under the name Octodon degus (degu). RNAcentral's name for it is "Small nucleolar RNA SNORA70 (ENSODEG00000020621.1)". It matches the Rfam family "Small nucleolar RNA SNORA70". Rfam says of the family: snoRNA U70 seems to be exclusive to mammals and is a member of the H/ACA class of snoRNA which contain H (ANANNA) and ACA box motifs. The record is from Rfam by way of RNAcentral. Lineage: Eukaryota; Metazoa; Chordata; Mammalia; Rodentia; Octodontidae.
CUGGGACUAAUAAAGAAGGGGUGUGCAGUGGCUGCACACAGUAACCUCCUCGGUAGUGUAUGCAGCCUGGUGCUUGUGUAGGCUGCCCUAGGGGACCUUGGAGACACUC